GGAGAGGUGGCCGAGUGGUUUAAGGCAGCGGUCUUGAAAACCGCCGUGGCAGCGAUGUCACCGUGGGUUCGAAUCCCACCCUCUCCG
RNAcentral lists this transfer RNA (87 nucleotides) under Pseudofulvimonas gallinarii. It matches the Rfam family "tRNA". Rfam says of the family: Transfer RNA (tRNA) molecules are approximately 80 nucleotides in length. Their secondary structure includes four short double-helical elements and three loops (D, anti-codon, and T loops). The record is from Rfam by way of RNAcentral. Lineage: Bacteria; Pseudomonadati; Pseudomonadota; Gammaproteobacteria; Lysobacterales; Rhodanobacteraceae.